Molecule: unclassified non-coding RNA, 464 nt
Filed under: Hevea brasiliensis (rubber tree)
Lineage: Eukaryota; Viridiplantae; Streptophyta; Magnoliopsida; Malpighiales; Euphorbiaceae
Source: RNAcentral
CUGAAAAUUCUUUGACGUCCCAACCAUCUGCAAUCAAUGAUCGCAAUGAGUUUUAAGAAAAAUUCUAGAGAAAAUAUGCUGAUUUACAAGUGCAGUAUACCGUGUAAACAACAACAACUAAUCAGAUCAUUUCAAUGAUGAGUACUGAAAAAUAUAAUUAACCCCAGAAGAAGUUUGUAAUCCAGUUCAAUUUCGUCACGGUUGUAAUCGGUUUGGUUGAUAAGAAAAUAAUGGCAAAAUGGAUGGAAUUUCCAAUAGACACUGGAACACCCUCAUAGAAGUCAAACUGACUUUACCCACAGAAAUGAACAAUCACACAAAAGUUGAACUUUCCACGCCCUUGAAGAACAAAAGAAAGAGAAACAAAAUGGUCUAAAUUUUCUUUCUCAUUCCUUAAUUCCACAAUUUUCUCAGCAAACAAACAGAAAAGGAAUAAACAAAUGAGAGCAAUGUGGUCACACCUU